GUGGCUGCAUCAAUGCACCGAGUGGACUCAUUUGGGGUGCUUUCUAGACUGGCUGGACUUGGCUGUGUUGUGCGCACAGCAUACUCUGUGAGGGGGCCCCUUUCUCUCUGGCAUGUGGACACUAACCAUAAGUUGAUAAGAUACAACAUUGUACUUUUUGGUGCAGUUGAUGGCUACUCCAGAAAGAUUAUGUGUUUGGAGGCUUCAACAAACAACCGAGCAUCAACAGCAUUUGCAGCUUUCAAAAAAGCAACCGAGUUACACGGAAUACCC
This is a long non-coding RNA of Melanotaenia boesemani (Boeseman's rainbowfish), 273 nucleotides long. RefSeq lists it as uncharacterized. The record is from RefSeq and is a predicted model, not a curated record. Lineage: Eukaryota; Metazoa; Chordata; Actinopteri; Atheriniformes; Melanotaeniidae. The transcript has 3 exons.